CAGUAGCCACGGUAAUACGAAGGGGGCUAGCGUUGCUCGGAAUCACUGGGCGUAAAGGGUGCGUAGGCGGGUCUUUAAGUCAGGGGUGAAAUCCUGGAGCUCAACUCCAGAACUGCCUUUGAUACUGAAGAUCUUGAGUAUGGGAGAGGUGAGUGGAACUGCGAGUGUAGUGGUGAAAUUCGUAGACAUUCGCAAGAACACCAGUGGCGAAGGCGGCUCACUGGCCCAUAACUGACGCUGAGGCACGAAAGCGUGGGGAGCAAACAGGAUUAGAUACCCCGGUAGUCCCUGUCUCUUAUAC
RNAcentral lists this ribosomal RNA (301 nucleotides) under uncultured bacterium. Its description in RNAcentral is "partial 16S ribosomal RNA". It matches the Rfam family "Bacterial small subunit ribosomal RNA", at positions 509 to 807 of the family's 1533-position model. The record is from RNAcentral.